UGCGAACUCCUACGGGAGGCAGCAGUGGGGAAUAUUGCACAAUGGGGGGAACCCUGAUGCAGCCAUGCCGCGUGAAUGAAGAAGGCCUUCGGGUUGUAAAGUUCUUUCGGUGACGAGGAAGGUUGAUAGGUUAAUAGCCUAUCAAAUUGACGUUAAUCACAGAAGAAGCACCGGCUAACUCCGUGCCAGCAGCCGCGGUAAUACGGGGGGUGCGAGCGUUAAUCGGAAUAACUGGGCGUAAAGGGCACGCAGGCGGUGACUUAAGUGAGAUGUGAAAGCCCCGAGCUUAACUUGGGAAUUGCAUUUCAUACUGGGUCGCUAGAGUACUUUAGGGAGGGGUAGAAUUCCACGUGUAGCGGUGAAAUGCGUAGAUAUGUGGAGGAAUACCGAAGGCGAAGGCAGCCCCUUGGGAAUGUACUGACGCUCAUGUGCGAAAGCGUGGGGAGCAAACAGGAUUAGAAACCCCGGUAGUCCAGAAGUG
RNAcentral lists this ribosomal RNA (481 nucleotides) under uncultured bacterium. RNAcentral's name for it is "bacterial SSU rRNA". It matches the Rfam family "Bacterial small subunit ribosomal RNA", at positions 330 to 804 of the family's 1533-position model. The record is from RNAcentral.